GGUUUUAUAGUCAAUUGUUAUGACGUUGGACUGCAAUUCCGAAGUAGUAUUAUUAAGUACUAAGACCU
RNAcentral lists this transfer RNA (68 nucleotides) under Ctenolepisma villosum. RNAcentral describes it as "Ctenolepisma villosa tRNA-Cys". It matches the Rfam family "tRNA". From Rfam's summary of the family: Transfer RNA (tRNA) molecules are approximately 80 nucleotides in length. Lineage: Eukaryota; Metazoa; Arthropoda; Insecta; Zygentoma; Lepismatidae. The record is from RNAcentral.